This 784-nucleotide long non-coding RNA is filed under the name Mus caroli (Ryukyu mouse). RNAcentral's name for it is "lncRNA (MGP_CAROLIEiJ_G0004332.1)". The record is from RNAcentral. Lineage: Eukaryota; Metazoa; Chordata; Mammalia; Rodentia; Muridae.
CAAUGGGAAGAUGGUUUUCUGCUGCAGACUACCUUCGUUCUUUUUCUGGACUCCACAGUGAGCCUGCUAGGUUUGCAAAGCCAGAGCUGGAAGAGUGCUCAUUAAUUCAGCUUCAUGAAGGGGUGGGUACAGGCGAUAUUUCUCCCAGUGGAGACUGGCGACUCAGUCGUGCAUAAGCUUUCAAAUGAGCUUCCCUCCUUAGAGUUUCUUGGAAAUGUCCCAUGCAGUUUCAAUUAAUUUUACUUCUUUUUUGGCUACUUGGGGGCAGAAGGAGAAGAGAAUGAUGCAGAAAAAAAGAGAACAGAUUUUCUUAACAGUUUAUCAAAAUUGUUUGGCCUCACGCGGUUUUUCUGCUGCCCUUUCUGCUGUGUCUAUUGACCUCCAACUUGCUAUGUAGCCAAGGCUAGCCUUGGACUCCUGCUCUUCUUGCCUCCACCACCAGACAUUGGAAUUGCAGGUUUGAGCCACCACAGCUGGCCCAAAUGCUUCUACAGAACACACUGAAAAGACUUUGGGUCAAUGUGAAAUGUCACCUUCAAGCCAGAAUUUUCUAUCUGGAGGUCUUCCCCUUGGUUAACUAUGCUGGGCACAGAUGGUCAGACAGAAUACAUGUGGCUUACAGUCUAUGCAAGAACAAACCAAUGAUUGCUUUCCAUGUUCCUUUAUGAGAACAGAAAUGGAGAACCCUUUAGAAAGCCAGUGGAUAAAUUUCUCCAUUAAUUCAUCUAGCCAUGUAUCCAUAUCAAACUACAACAUAAUUCUCCAACUACAAAAAAAAAAAAAA